UACGAAGGGGCUAGCGUUGUUCGGAAUUACUGGGCGUAAAGCGCACGUAGGCUGACUUUAAGUCAGGGUGAAAUCCCGAGGCUCAACCUCGGAACUGCCUUUGAUACUGGAAGUCUUGAGUCCGAGAGAGGUGAGUGGAACUCCGAGUGUAGAGGUGAAAUUCGUAGAUAUUCGGAAGAACACCAGUGGCGAAAGGCGGCUCACUGGCUCGGUACUGACGCUGAGGUGCGAAAGCGUGGGGAGCAAACAGG
RNAcentral lists this ribosomal RNA (251 nucleotides) under uncultured bacterium. RNAcentral describes it as "partial 16S ribosomal RNA". It matches the Rfam family "Bacterial small subunit ribosomal RNA", at positions 524 to 776 of the family's 1533-position model. The record is from RNAcentral.